CAAAUCCUAUUAGGACGGAUUUAGGUUUUUACAAAACGGAUUUGGGCGGAUUCGGAUUUGAAAAAUUUUACCCGUCUCGGUUUCGGGUAGGGUUCGAAGUUAGGUGAUUGGAUACCCAUUACCCGAACCCGAUUAGCUAUACUUACAAAACUAACCCUAAUUCCUUUUUUCAUUUUACUUCAUACACUUCCCUCUCUCCGUCGGCGCCUCUCUCCCCCGCUUCCCUCGAUCGACUCUCUCCCCCACUUCACUGCCGGCAGCCCAGUCGGCACCUGAACCCAAGAGGAGGAAACUCGAGCCACCAACCGCGUCGCAGGACAGGCUCUUCACCUGCAGCAAAGAAACCCGUAGAUGCAACAUCAGUUGCAGCACCCGAGACUCAUGGAGUAGAUUACAGGAUCCAACAG
This is a long non-coding RNA of Manihot esculenta (cassava), 407 nucleotides long. RefSeq lists it as uncharacterized. The record is from RefSeq and is a predicted model, not a curated record. NCBI's taxonomy places the organism in Eukaryota, Viridiplantae, Streptophyta, Magnoliopsida, Malpighiales, Euphorbiaceae. The transcript has 3 exons.